CAGCAGCCGCGGGAAUACGGAGGGUGCAAGCGUUAAUCGGAACUACAGAGCGUAAAGCGUGCGUAGGCGGUUCGUUAAGUCUGUUGUGAAAGCCCCGGGCUCAACCUGGGAAUGGCAAUGGAUACUGGCGAGCUAGAGUGUGUCAGAGGAUGGUGGAAUUCCCGGUGUAGCGGUGAAAUGCGUAGAGGUCGGGAGGAACAUCAGUGGCGAAGGCGGCUUACUGGCUCAUUCUAGACGCUGAGGUGCGAAAGCGUGGGGAGCAAACAGGAUUAGAUACCCCAGUAGUCCCUGUCUCUUAUAC
Molecule: ribosomal RNA, 301 nt
Filed under: uncultured bacterium
Lineage: Bacteria
Description: partial 16S ribosomal RNA
Rfam family: Bacterial small subunit ribosomal RNA
Source: RNAcentral